UAUCGACGUAGUUUGAUCAUGGCUCAGGAUGAACGCUAGCGGCAGGCUUAAUACAUGCAAGUCAAGGGGGUAGCAAUACAACCGGCGCACGGGUGAGUAACACGUACACAACAUACCAUAUACUGAGGUAUAGCUUCGGGAAACUGAAGGUAAUCCCUCAUAGUAUUGUGAAAGGGCAUCUUUUUACAAUUAAAGUUUCGACGGUAUAUGAUUGGUGUGCGUUUGAUUAGCUAGUUGGUAGGGUAACGGCCUACCAAGGCAACGAUCAAUAGCUGGCGUGAGAGCGCGACCAGCCACACUGGAACUGAGACACGGUCCAGACUCCUACGGGAGGCAGCAGUAGGGAAUAUUGGACAAUGGGCGAAAGCCUGAUCCAGCCAUGCCGCGUGAUAGAUGAAGGCCCUCUGGGUUGUAAAUAUCUUUUAUCUGGGAAGAAACACUUCUAUUCUUAGAAGCUUGACGGUACCAGAGGAAUAAGCACCGGCUAACUCCGUG
RNAcentral lists this ribosomal RNA (495 nucleotides) under uncultured bacterium. RNAcentral describes it as "bacterial SSU rRNA". It matches the Rfam family "Bacterial small subunit ribosomal RNA", at positions 1 to 507 of the family's 1533-position model. The record is from RNAcentral.